RNAcentral lists this ribosomal RNA (855 nucleotides) under uncultured bacterium. Its description in RNAcentral is "bacterial SSU rRNA". It matches the Rfam family "Bacterial small subunit ribosomal RNA", at positions 94 to 954 of the family's 1533-position model. The record is from RNAcentral.
CACGACGCACGGGUGCGUAACACGUGGGCAACCUGCCCUCCGAUGGGGAAUAACCCCGCGAAAGCGGGGCUAAUACCGCAUAACAUUCCUUGGACUUAGGUUUGAGGAUUCAAAGCAGCAAUGCGUCGGAGGAGGGGCCCGCGGCCGAUUAGCUAGUUGGUGAGGUAACGGCUCACCAAGGCAAUGAUCGGUAGCUGGUCUGAGAGGAUGAUCAGCCACACUGGAACUGAGACACGGUCCAGACUCCUACGGGAGGCAGCAGUGGGGAAUCUUGCACAAUGGGCGAAAGCCUGAUGCAGCGACGCCGCGUGGGGGAUGAAGCUUCUCGGAGUGUAAACCCCUUUCGCCUGGGACGAAUGCCCGCAAGGGAGUGACGGUACCAGGAUAAGAAGCCCCGGCUAACUACGUGCCAGCAGCCGCGGUAAGACGUAGGGGGCCAGCGUUGUUCGGAAUUACUGGGUGUAAAGGGUUCGUAGGCGGUGCGGCAAGUCGGGAGUGAAAUCUCUGGGCUCAACUCAGAGGCUGCUUCCGAAACUGCUGUGCUUGAGUGUGGGAGAGGCUCGUGGAAUUGCAGGUGUAGCGGUGAAAUGCGUAGAUAUCUGCAGGAACACCCGUGGCGAAAGCGGCGAGCUGGAUCACUACUGACGCUGAGGAACGAAAGCUAGGGGAGCAAACAGGAUUAGAUACCCUGGUAGUCCUAGCCCUAAACGAUCAGGACUUGGGGUGCCACCCGUUCGGGUGGCGUCCCGGAGCUAACGCGUUGAGUUCUGCGCCUGGGGAGUACGGUCGCAAGACUGAAACUCAAAGGAAUUGACGGGGGCCCGCACAAGCGGUGGAACAUGUGGUUCAAUUCGA